This is a long non-coding RNA of Octopus sinensis (East Asian common octopus), 184 nucleotides long. RefSeq lists it as uncharacterized. Lineage: Eukaryota; Metazoa; Mollusca; Cephalopoda; Octopoda; Octopodidae. The record is from RefSeq and is a predicted model, not a curated record. The transcript is spliced from 3 exons.
AAAAUAUAUAAAAAGUGGAAGAGAAAUGCCUUCGUUUCAUAUAGUUUAAUAUCUUUUUAUAAAUAUAUACAUAUUAUAUGCAUGUCGUGAAAUCCAACCGGCUUUCGCUAAUUAAAUUAGCCUUUCAAGGGACAUUGUACAGUAAUCAGUUCUCGUGACAGAGGGGUUUCGGCAUUUGGAUGUU